RNAcentral lists this ribosomal RNA (298 nucleotides) under Pseudomonas sp. GM37. RNAcentral's name for it is "partial 16S ribosomal RNA". It matches the Rfam family "Bacterial small subunit ribosomal RNA", at positions 1003 to 1300 of the family's 1533-position model. The record is from RNAcentral. Lineage: Bacteria; Pseudomonadati; Pseudomonadota; Gammaproteobacteria; Pseudomonadales; Pseudomonadaceae.
GAGAUGGAUUGGUGCCUUCGGGAACUCUGACACAGGUGCUGCAUGGCUGUCGUCAGCUCGUGACGUGAGAUGUUGGGUUAAGUCCCGUAACGAGCGCAACCCUUGUCCUUAGUUACCAGCACGUUAUGGUGGGAACUCUAAGGAAACUGCCGGUGACAAACCGGAGGAAGGUGGGGAUGACGUCAAGUCAUCAUGGCCCUUACGGCCUGGGCUACACACGUGCUACAAUGGUCGGUACAGAGGGUUGCCAAGCCGCGAGGUGGAGCUAAUCUCACAAAACCGAUCGUAGUCCGGAUCG